UAUUGGUCAAUGGGCGCAAGCCUGAACCAGCCAAGUCGCGUGAGGGAAGACGGUCCUAUGGAUUGUACACCUCUUUUGUCGGGGAGCAAAGCGCGGUACGAGUACCGUGAAGGAGAGUACCCGAAGAAAAAGCAUCCGCUAACCCCGUGCCAGCAGCCGCGGUAAUACGGAGGAUGCGAGCGUUAUCCGGAUUUAUUGGGUUUAAAGGGUGCGUAGGCGGAUUUGGAAGUCAGCGGUAAAAAUGCGGUGCUCAACGCCGUAUCGCCGUUGAAACUGCGGGUCUUGAGUGAGCGAGAAGUAUGCGGAAUGCGUGGUGUAGCGGUGAAAUGCAUAGAUAUCACGCAGAACUCCGAUUGCGAAGGCAGCAUACCGGCGCUCAACUGACGCUGAGGCACGAAAGCGUGGGGAUCG
RNAcentral lists this ribosomal RNA (411 nucleotides) under uncultured bacterium. RNAcentral describes it as "bacterial SSU rRNA". It matches the Rfam family "Bacterial small subunit ribosomal RNA", at positions 362 to 770 of the family's 1533-position model. The record is from RNAcentral.